GACGAACGCUGGCGGCGUGCUUAACACAUGCCAGUCGAACGAUGAACCCGGAGCUUGCUCUGGGGGAUUAGUGGCGAACGGGUGAGUAACACGUGAGUAACCUGCCCUGGACUCUGGGAUAAGCGUUGGAAACGACGUCUAAUACCGGAUAGGACCUUGGAUCGCAUGAUCUGGGGUGGAAAGUUUUUUCGGUCUGGGAUGGACUCGCGGCCUAUCAGCUUGUUGGUGAGGUAAUGGCUCACCAAGGCGUCGACGGGUAGCCGGCCUGAGAGGGUGACCGGCCACACUGGGACUGAGACACAGCCCAGACUCCUACGGGAGGCAGCAGUGGGGAAUAUUGCACAAUGGGCGAAAGCCUGAUGCAGCAACGCCGCGUGCGGGAUGACGGCCUUCGGGUUGUAAACCGCUUUUAGUAGGGAAGAAGGGCUUCGGCUUGACGGUACCUGCAGAAAAAGGACCGGCUAACUACGUG
Molecule: ribosomal RNA, 472 nt
Filed under: uncultured bacterium
Lineage: Bacteria
Description: partial 16S ribosomal RNA
Rfam family: Bacterial small subunit ribosomal RNA
Source: RNAcentral